UGGGAUGUAGCUCAGUGGCAGAGCGCCUGCCUAGUGAGUAUAACGUCCUGGGUUCAAUCCCCAGCACCAA
This 70-nucleotide transfer RNA is filed under the name Dipodomys ordii (Ord's kangaroo rat). It matches the Rfam family "tRNA". From Rfam's summary of the family: Transfer RNA (tRNA) molecules are approximately 80 nucleotides in length. Their secondary structure includes four short double-helical elements and three loops (D, anti-codon, and T loops). The record is from Rfam by way of RNAcentral. Lineage: Eukaryota; Metazoa; Chordata; Mammalia; Rodentia; Heteromyidae.